Molecule: ribosomal RNA, 151 nt
Filed under: uncultured crenarchaeote
Lineage: Archaea; Thermoproteati; Thermoproteota
Description: partial 16S ribosomal RNA
Rfam family: Archaeal small subunit ribosomal RNA
Source: RNAcentral
CCCUACGGGGUGCACCAGGCGCGAAACCUCUGCAAUAGGCGAAAGCUUGACAGGGUUACUCUGAGUGAUGUCCGUUAAGGGCAUCUUUUGGCACUUCUAAAAAUAGUGCAGAAUGAGGGGUGGGCAAGUCUGGUGUCAGCAGCCGCGGUAA